Hydractinia symbiolongicarpus is the source of this 1789-nucleotide long non-coding RNA. RefSeq lists it as uncharacterized. The record is from RefSeq and is a predicted model, not a curated record. The transcript is spliced from 2 exons. NCBI's taxonomy places the organism in Eukaryota, Metazoa, Cnidaria, Hydrozoa, Anthoathecata, Hydractiniidae.
UACAUGCUUUUUGAUUUUUUAUAAUAACACUUAGGAAACAGAAAAAUAAGAAAAAAGAAUAGUUUUAGGCUCAAUUUUUUUUUAAACUAAGAAUAACCUAAGCCUUAGUUUUGCCAUAAAAUAAGAACAAUCUAAAUGUAAAUUCUAUUCCAAUAGGGAAUAGCACAAUAGCAGAAUUCCCAAGCUCUCAAAGCUCCUCAAAAUUUCCCAAUUUUUUAGGGAAAUUUUUAAAGGCGAUUAAAAGGCGCUGAGCGUAGGCAGCUUUUUUUUAAAACAAUAGCUGCCUAUAUCUCUGCUUCAAAUGUUAUUUUUUUGAUUUCCACUUGUCAAAAGCAGCAAAAAGAGCGCGUAAACUUUUAAACGACAAAAAUAUGUAAACAUGAACGUUUGACGUAGAAAACUAUUGCUGCUUAAGAAAAUAAGUUUUAUCAAACUAUUGUUGUUGCUGAAUGAAGAAAAACAAAACAAAUAGUAUGCAAAAAGGUUUUGGAUAAGAAGGCUGUAUCAAGAACGAAAACUAAAAGGAGAACUCAGGUGUUUAUAUUUCCCGACUUUUUUGGAACAUCAAAUACGCAUGUGUCGGAUACCGAAGAUUUAGAUAGUCGGCGUGAUAGCUUGUCGAACAAAUACGAUUUUUUUCGUCGCAGAAAUAAGCUGGUUGACUGAAACCAAACUUUAUAAAUGCUAAAGAAAUUCUAUACAUCAAGUUGUGGCUACAUGAAAUUCCAGAAAUCAAGUUGUUGCCACAUGAAAUUCCAAACAGCGCACACUUCCAUAGUUCAAGAUCACAUAAAAACAUCCAAUGCGCCAUACUGUAGUACAAGUAGUGUAUAAAAAAUGCAAGCAAAAGUGUGUGCUUCGUCAGUACGGGAUCUUUCCUUGAUUGGGUGACUCUACAAUGUUCUACAAUGUCAAGAUAACAGUCAAGACUUUAUUUUAUAAGCAUUUUUUAAAUAUUACAGAUCGUUUGAUUGUUCUAUAGAUUGUUAUGUUGUUUAUUGUCAUGCGAACGUUGACCCCGAGAUUCUUUCACCUUAAAUGUUCACAAUAACCACAAUAAACCAUUUUGAUUGUACUUUGCUCUUCAUCUCAGAGAUUUAAAUAUGCAUUUUGUGUUAUAAUACUUUGUGAUGUAAUGGCGUAUAGGAAACCCUCAGUGCCGUUAUCAUUUUUUAUAUUAUUGUAGUCGUGUAAUGUAAAUAGUAUCUCUUUCUAUCUUUUGGUUUCUGAUGGAAAUUUUUAUCUAAAUUUGAUGCCAAUUAAACAAUGCAGCUUUUCUAAAUUACAAAAAUAGGAAAACACUUAUCGUGAUUUUUUAACAUUGAACCAUGAGAUCGUUGAAGUCUUGAAGGGCAUUUUCCGCCAAUCUAGAGAUGUAAAAUUUAAAAAAUUUUCGUCCACCCAAUAUUAAAAUUGUGGUUACCGCACUAACCCCUAACCAAGGCUAGUUGCGUUUUUAAAAAAAGUGCGUUACUUGAAGCUACCAUUCCUCCCAGCUUAUGCCCAACAAGCGAAUAAAACGUUUUUGAAGAUCCAAAAAUGGUCGUGCUGAAGCCAAAAAACAUGAACAUUUUUCAAGAGCAUCGUAAAAUGCCAAAAUCAAGCGCAGCGCUUAUCAGUGGUGAUAGCAAGUAUUUGAUGCGAAUUUCUGAGGGUGCGCUUAUAAUCGGGUGCGCUUGAUUUCGGCAUUUUACGAUAUGUAUUUAACCAAAUCACAUCAAAUUCGCCGAAACAUUGACAAGUUCGAAAUGAGCGUUUUAUUAUAGAAAUACAUGUAAUUACUUAAUAA